GACGAACGCUGGCGGCGUGCUUAACACAUGCAAGUCGAACGGAAAGGCCCUGCUUUUGUGGGGUGCUCGAGUGGCGAACGGGUGAGUAACACGUGAGUAACCUGCCCUUGACUUUGGGAUAACUUCAGGAAACUGGGGCUAAUACCGGAUAGGAGCUCCUGCUGCAUGGUGGGGGUUGGAAAGUUUCGGCGGGUGGGGAUGGACUCGCGGCUUAUCAGCUUGUUGGUGGGGUAGUGGCUUACCAAGGCUUUGACGGGUAGCCGGCCUGGGAGGGUGGACGGCCACCAUGGGGCUGGGGUACGGCCCAGGCUCCUACGGGGGGCAACGGGGGGGAAUAUUGCACAAUGGGCGGAAGCCUGAUGCAGCAACGCCGCGUGCGGGAUGACGGCCUUCGGGUUGUAAACCGCUUUCGCCUGUGACGAAGCGUGAGUGACGGUAAUGGGUAAAGAAGCACCGGCUAACUACGUG
RNAcentral lists this ribosomal RNA (468 nucleotides) under uncultured bacterium. Its description in RNAcentral is "partial 16S ribosomal RNA". It matches the Rfam family "Bacterial small subunit ribosomal RNA", at positions 28 to 507 of the family's 1533-position model. The record is from RNAcentral.